This 217-nucleotide unclassified non-coding RNA is filed under the name Simplicillium sp. Its description in RNAcentral is "partial internal transcribed spacer region". The stretch from base 1 to 46 matches the Rfam family "Eukaryotic small subunit ribosomal RNA", at positions 1786 to 1831 of the family's 1831-position model. RNAcentral also lists the same sequence under 1 other name. The record is from RNAcentral. Lineage: Eukaryota; Fungi; Ascomycota; Sordariomycetes; Hypocreales; Cordycipitaceae.
AAGUCGUAACAAGGUCUCCGUUGGUGAACCAGCGGAGGGAUCAUUAUCGAGUUUAUUCAACUCCCAAACCCUAUGUGAACUUACCACUUGUUGCUUCGGCGGCGCUCUGGCGCUGCCGGGGGUAUCAAACUCUUAUUGUUUUUACAGCAUUAUCUGAGUGGCCGAAAGGCAAAAAACAAAUGAAUCAAAACUUUCAACAACGGAUCUCUUGGUUCUG